UACGUAGGGGGCGAGCGUUGUCCGGAUUCAUUGGGCGUAAAGCGCGCGCAGGCGGUUGGCAGAGCCCGGCGUGAAAGCCCCCAGCUCAACUGGGGGAGGCCGUCGGAGACCUGUCGACUUGAGGCCGGUAGGGGAGAGCGGAAUUCCCGGUGUAGUGGUGGAAUGCGUAGAUAUCAGGAGGAACACCGGUGGCGAAGGCGGGUCUCUGGGCCGAUAUUGACGCUGAGGAGCGAAAGCGUGGGGAGCGAACAGG
RNAcentral lists this ribosomal RNA (253 nucleotides) under uncultured bacterium. RNAcentral describes it as "partial 16S ribosomal RNA". It matches the Rfam family "Bacterial small subunit ribosomal RNA", at positions 524 to 776 of the family's 1533-position model. The record is from RNAcentral.